GGGUAGUAGAGAAGGGGUUGGUGAGGGUAGUAGAGAAGGGGUUGGUGAGGGUAGUAGAGAAGGGGUUGGUGAGGGUAGUAGAGAAGGGGUUAGUGAGGGUAGUAGAGAAGGGUUUGGUGAGGGUGGUAGAGAAGGGGUUGGUGAGGGGACUAGUAGAGAAGGGGUUGGUGAGGGUAGUAGAGAAGGGGUUGGUGAGGGACUGAGGGUAAUAGAGAAGGGGUUGGUGAGGGUGGUAGAGAAGGGGUUGGUGAGGGUAGUAGAGAAGGGGUUGGUGAGGGUAGUAGAGAAGGGGUUGGUGAGGGUAGUAGAGAAGGGGUUGG
Molecule: long non-coding RNA, 320 nt
Organism: Oncorhynchus tshawytscha (Chinook salmon)
Lineage: Eukaryota; Metazoa; Chordata; Actinopteri; Salmoniformes; Salmonidae
Source: Ensembl